GCAAGUCGAACGAUAGAACCACUUCGGUGGGGAAGAGUGGCGAACGGGUGAGUAACACGUGGGCAAUCUGCCCUGCACUCUGGGAUAACUCCGGGAAACCGGAGCUAAUACCGGAUACGACUCUCCAGGGCAUCCUGGGGGGUGGAAAGCUCCGGCGGUGCAGGAUGAGCCCGCGGCCUAUCAGCUGGUUGGUGGGGUAAUGGCCCACCAAGGCGACGACGGGUAGCCGGCCUGAGAGGGCGACCGGCCACACUGGGACUGAGACACGGCCCAGACUCCUACGGGAGGCAGCAGUGGGGAAUAUUGCACAAUGGGCGCAAGCCUGAUGCAGCGACGCCGCGUGAGGGAUGACGGCCUUCGGGUUGUAAACCUCUUUCAGCAGGGAAGAAGCGCAAGUGACGGUACCUGCAGAAGAAGCACCGGCUAACUACGUGCCAGCAGCCGCGGUAAUACGUAGGGUGCGAGCGUUGUCCGGAAUUAUUGGGCGUAAAGAGCUCGUAGGCGGCCUGUCGCGUCGGAUGUGAAAGCCCGGGGCUUAACCCCGGGUCUGCAUUCGAUACGGGCAGGCUAGAGUUCG
Molecule: ribosomal RNA, 577 nt
Filed under: Streptomyces radiopugnans
Lineage: Bacteria; Bacillati; Actinomycetota; Actinomycetes; Kitasatosporales; Streptomycetaceae
Description: bacterial SSU rRNA
Rfam family: Bacterial small subunit ribosomal RNA
Source: RNAcentral